This 73-nucleotide transfer RNA is filed under the name Oreochromis niloticus (Nile tilapia). RNAcentral's name for it is "tRNA-Arg (TCT) (tRNA-Arg-TCT-16-1)". It matches the Rfam family "tRNA". Rfam says of the family: Transfer RNA (tRNA) molecules are approximately 80 nucleotides in length. Their secondary structure includes four short double-helical elements and three loops (D, anti-codon, and T loops). Further hydrogen bonds mediate the characteristic L-shaped molecular structure. tRNAs have two regions of fundamental functional importance: the anti-codon, which is responsible for specific mRNA codon recognition, and the 3' end, to which the tRNAs corresponding amino acid is attached (by aminoacyl-tRNA synthetases). tRNAs cope with the degeneracy of the genetic code in two manners: having more than one tRNA (with a specific anti-codon) for a particular amino acid; and 'wobble' base-pairing, i.e. permitting non-standard base-pairing at the 3rd anti-codon position. The record is from RNAcentral. Lineage: Eukaryota; Metazoa; Chordata; Actinopteri; Cichliformes; Cichlidae.
GGCUCUGUGGCGCAAUGGACAGCGCACUGGACUUCUAAUUCAAAGGUUGUGGGUUCGAGUCCCACCAGAGUCG